UUCUUAGCUUAGUUGGUAGAGCACCCGCUUAGUAAGCGGGAGGUCGUCGGUUCAACUCCGGCAGAAGGCU
This 70-nucleotide transfer RNA is filed under the name Perkinsus olseni. It matches the Rfam family "tRNA". From Rfam's summary of the family: Transfer RNA (tRNA) molecules are approximately 80 nucleotides in length. Their secondary structure includes four short double-helical elements and three loops (D, anti-codon, and T loops). Lineage: Eukaryota; Perkinsozoa; Perkinsida; Perkinsidae. The record is from Rfam by way of RNAcentral.